RNAcentral lists this ribosomal RNA (445 nucleotides) under uncultured soil bacterium. RNAcentral describes it as "bacterial SSU rRNA". It matches the Rfam family "Bacterial small subunit ribosomal RNA", at positions 26 to 518 of the family's 1533-position model. The record is from RNAcentral.
AGAACGAACGCUGGCGGCAUGCCUAACACAUGCAAGUCGAACGAGACCUUCGGGUCUAGUGGCGCACGGGUGCGUAACGCGUGGGAAUCUGCCCUAGGGUGCGGAAUAACUCGGAGAAAUCCGUGCUAAUACCGCAUAAUGUCUUCGGACCAAAGAUUUAUUGCCCUGGGAUGAGCCCGCGUAGGAUUAGCUAGUUGGUGGGGUAAAGGCCUACCAAGGCGACGAUCCUUAGCUGGUCUGAGAGGAUGAUCAGCCACACUGGGACUGAGACACGGCCCAGACUCCUACGGGAGGCAGCAGUGGGAAUAUUGGACAAUGGGCGAAAGCCUGAUCCAGCAAUGCCGCGUGAGUGAUGAAGGCCCUAGGUUGUAAAGCUCUUUUACCCGGGAUGAUAAUGACAGUACCGGAGAAUAAGCUCCGGACUAACUCCGUAGCCAGCAGCCGC